GUAACUGCCCAUUGAGCGUAACAGGUUGACGAAAAUCCUCAUUCUGGAAUCGCGUAAUGUCUCGCGAGAUCAUAGGCCGGAAGUACCUGAGUAAAGUGGACGGUCGACGAUUAGGCCUACAGAAUCGCAGUUUGUAAUCUUCGUCAGCACAACAGUAGAAUGAUUAUGAAGCCGAGGAAGAAGGGUGCAAUCCUUUGUCCUGGAUCUCAUGAAGAAGACCUGCAAGUUACGCGUAUUCUCCUGAACAAGCCAGCGGCUUAUUCCUCCGAACUGCGGACUGAAUCGCGGACUCUAUGAGAGACACGCCCUGGGAAACCACCUCCGUCGCCGUAGAAACGGCCCUGCUGGCCGGUCUCUGAUGCAGCGUCGCUUUGUGAAGGAAAGAGGCCGACGAAGACGAGCCUCGUGCGCUUGUGACGGACACACCGCUCUGAAGGCCCGCCCUCUUUGUAGAGUGACAGCAGAAUUUGCCGGUCUAGCUUCUGCUGAGCUGAGAGCGUUCUUCACUGCACUGGACCAGUAAUCGCCAUGGUUUCGGGCCUGCACUGGACCUGUAAUCGCCAUGGUUUCGGGCCUGUGGUGGACCAGUAAUCGCCAUGGUUUCGGGCCUGUGGUGGACCAGUAAUCGCCAUGGUUUCGGGCCUGUGGUGGACCAGUAAUCGCCAUGGUUUCGGGCCUGUGGUGGACCAGUAAUCGCCAUGGUUUCUGCGGCUGCACUGGACCAGUAAUCGCCAUGGUUUCAGGCCUGCACUGGACCUGUAAUCGCCAUGGUUUCGGGCCUGUGGUGGACCAGUAAUCGCCAUGGUUUCGGGCCUGUGGUGGA
This is a long non-coding RNA of Anguilla rostrata (American eel), 823 nucleotides long. RefSeq lists it as uncharacterized. The transcript has 4 exons. Lineage: Eukaryota; Metazoa; Chordata; Actinopteri; Anguilliformes; Anguillidae. The record is from RefSeq and is a predicted model, not a curated record.